AGCACACACACCCAGGCACUCACUCCACACACCCAGCACACACACCCAGGCACUCACUCCACACACACCCAGGCACUCACUCCACACACACCCAGGCACUCACUCCACACACACACACCCAGGCACUCACUCCACACACACACCCAGGCACUCACUCCACACACACACACCCAGGCACUCACUCCACACACACACCCAGGCACUCACUCCACACACACACCCAGGCACUCACUCCACACACACACACCCAGGCACUCACUCCACACACACACACAGGCACUCCACACACACCACCCAGGCACUCCACACCACACACACACACCCAGGCACUCACUCCACACACCCAGCACACACACCCAGGCACUCACUCCACACACCCAGCACACACACCCAGGCACUCACUCCACACACACCCAGGCACUCACUCCACACACACCCAGGCGCUCACUCCACACACACCCAGGCACUCACUCCACACACACCCAGGCACUCACUCCACACACCCACCCAGGCACUCCACACACACCCAGGCACUCCACACACACCCAGGCACUCACUCCACACACCCAGCACACACACCCAGGCACUCACUCCACACACACCCAGGCACUCACACUGGGGGUCUCGCUGCCCCCCACAGCAGGGUCUGGGUGCAUGCAGGGCCCCCACCUGGCAGGUGAGGGCAGAGUGGGCACAUGGUCCCAGCCCACGGGGUGGCCUCACAUCCCUCUUUCUGUUCAUCCUCCUCUCCUUGAUGCCGGCCUCUCAAGCUGUCUGCACAGUUGGGCUCCUCCCUGAUGGGGACAUGGUGGCUCUCCAGGGCUUCAGGGCUGGACACUGCCCUUUCUACAGCAUGGGUUGUUUAAAUGACUCCAGGGCACCGUCAGUGUCCUGCACGGC
This 900-nucleotide long non-coding RNA is filed under the name Pan troglodytes (chimpanzee). Its description in RNAcentral is "long non-coding RNA NONPTRT011000". The record is from RNAcentral. Lineage: Eukaryota; Metazoa; Chordata; Mammalia; Primates; Hominidae.